This 336-nucleotide unclassified non-coding RNA is filed under the name soil metagenome. Its description in RNAcentral is "partial contains 5.8S ribosomal RNA, internal transcribed spacer 2, and large subunit ribosomal RNA". The stretch from base 1 to 120 matches the Rfam family "5.8S ribosomal RNA", at positions 35 to 154 of the family's 154-position model. The record is from RNAcentral.
GAUGAAGAACGUAGCGAAAUGCGAUAAGUAAUGUGAAUUGCAGAAUUCAGUGAAUCAUCGAAUCUUUGAACGCACAUUGCGCCCGCCAGUAUUCUGGCGGGCAUGCCUGUUCGAGCGUCAUUUCAACCAUCAAGCCCCAGGCUUGUGUUGGGGACCUGCGGCUGCCGCAGGCCCUGAAAACCAGUGGCGGGCUCGCUGUCACACCGGGCGUAGUAGAUUUUAUCUCGCUCAGGGCGUGCUGCGGGUUCCGGCCGUUAAAAAGCCUUUUUUACCCAAGGUUGACCUCGGAUCAGGUAGGAAGACCCGCUGAACUUAAGCAUAUCAAUAAGCGGAGGA